Molecule: small RNA, 92 nt
Organism: Citrobacter rodentium ICC168
Lineage: Bacteria; Pseudomonadati; Pseudomonadota; Gammaproteobacteria; Enterobacterales; Enterobacteriaceae
Rfam family: sroE RNA
About the family: This family consists of a number of bacterial sroE RNA genes of around 90 bases in length. sroE is found in several Enterobacterial species but its function is unknown.
Source: Rfam
AUAACGUGAUGGGAAGCGCUUAGCUUCCCGUGUAUGAUUGAACCCGCAUGGCUCCCGUCUCGUUCGGGGAAGCGCUGAGGGUUCAUUUUUAU